CUUCAAUGGAGUCAGGCUAACAGAUGGCCUUGGGGUGCCAUCAGCCUUGUUCCCAGAGGAACACUCCAAAGCCUGAUGGCCUUGUAGAUCUUACCUUUCUUCCUCACUCUUCCCAGCGGUUCUAGGUCACUUGUCUGUGUGUCAUUUAAGAAUCUCUUUAUCCACUUUGUUGUUAGGUUUAUGUUUAGGGAAGUUUCUCAGACAUCCCUGGGUCUUGAGAAGGCAGGCUUGGAUUCCGGGUUCUCCCCUGCCGCGUGUCUGCCAGGUCGAGGUGGAGGCUGAAGGCCGGUCUGAGUUGUGGUGGUCUGUGUGGUCUUCGGGUCAGUGGACCCCCUCUUCCCUAGAGGGGCAGGGAGACCCUUUGUGUGGAGCCUGGAGAGACUUGACAGGGUCAGUCUUCAGAGUCUCACUCUCUUUUUAAUUAGUGUUUGCAUUUAGUUACUUACUCAUUUCACUGUUUUCUAGGAGUUGGCAACAUCUACGGAAGAACUCAAUAUAUGCCGGGAACAGCUUCUUGCAAGAGAAGAAGAAAUAGCUCUGCUGAAUGCAGAGCGGAAUAAUACCAGGCUGCUGCUGGAGCACCUGGAGUGCCUGGUUUCCCAGUAUAUAACGUCCCUCCAGACGACGGCGGGCAAGUGGCAGGCGCAGUCCCCAGACGGCAUGACCAGCGAGCUGGAGGUGCUCAAGGCGCUCAAAUCACUCUUUGAGCACCACAAGGCCCUGGACAAGAAGAGAACCUGCGACGAAGACCUGGCUCAGGUGAUCGAGCUCCAGGAAAUCAUCGAGAAGAAGUCACGGGAGCAGAGAGAGAUGAAGCACCGCCUGGCAGCCCUCUCUGCCCACGUGACAGAGCUGGAGAAGGACCUGGACACGGCCAGGAAGGACCUCCUCAAGUCCAAGGAGGUGAAAGUGAAACUACAGCAGGACAUCCGUGAAGUGCAGCCCCUGAAAGAUCAGGACCGGGAACGCGGGCAGCAAGCCAGCGUGCUGGCCAACGUGGGCCAGCUGUUCAAGAGUGACAAGGGUGUGUCAGACGGCGAGGGUGACCGGGUCACCCUCUUCAGCAUGCCCACUCUGCUGUCGCCCCGCGGCCAGGCCGAUGCCAAGACUCCGGCCGGGAGGAUUCAGAAGCAGCUGGACAGGAUCAACGAAGAAAGCUGGUUGAUCCAAAAAGACAAGGAGAACACGGAUCAGCGGGCGGAGGGGAUUGAGAGCAGGGUGGGCAGUGGGAGCUUCAGCAACCUUCGGCGCUUUAACUCCUCCAACUCCCUCAACCUGGAUCCCGCCUCCUCGCAUGCCGGCUCCUUCCCGCCCAGCAGAGGGCGCUCCAUGCCCGAAAGGAGGCAGCACAGCCCUGAGCGAGAAGAAGACAAGCUGGGCUUCAUGACUCUGCUGCCAGCCUUACAGGAAGAGGUAGAAGAUGACACCAUCAAAUGUGAAACCUCGACCUCCGCCUCGCUGCGGUCCUUUCGGCUGGACCGGCUCACGGGCUCACUGCGCACAGCCAGCGAUGAGGACAUCAGGGACGCCCACAACGCGACAGGCUCUCAGGACGGUCCCGGGGGCAACCCCAGCAACAGCAACAGCAGCCAGGACUCGCUGCAGAAAGCCCCAAAGAAGAAGGGCAUCAAGUCCUCCAUCGAUCGUUGGUUUGGCAAGAAGGAAAAGGGCCGGCCUGGACACACCAGCAGGGAGGCGUUAGGACCAGGUGGGGCUUCACCGUUCAGAGGGAGGAGGGUCUGCGUGUAUGUCCCUUCUGUGUCUCCCCCGCUGUCCCCACGAGGCUCCUGUCACUCACGCUAGGUGUCCUUCUGGGAGGAGUGGAUGAGGCGUCUGUCUUCUCUAGGGUCCGAGAUGAUCAGAUCAGUUGAUGAGUGGAUGGGUGGACAGGUAGAUGAACAGAUGGCUGGCUGGAUGGGUGGGUGAACGGAGCAUGGAAUGAGUAAAGCAGAUGCUUACUCCCAUGAGAAACGUAUUCUACGAAACGGAUUGAGUAGGAGCUGGGCAAUGACUGUUUCCUCCAGAACAGUGACAAGUGUUUGGAAACGGCCUAAGUGCUCAUCAGAGAGGAGUGAGGUACAAUCUGUGGGCACCCCACAAGGAACAGCAUCCCCUCCUUCCUGCCACUUUCCCCAUCCCCAGGGGCUCAUGAGGGGUUCUGCCCAUUACCCCACCCCAGCCCACAGCCACUCAGGUCCUCCUGGGGUCAACUCAUCACACAGUGUUAUCAUCAGGCCCCCGUCUCUCUCGGCUUCAUCUCCUUAAGGACAGGGUAUGUUCCUGCCUCUUCAGCCAGAUAUUUGUUGAGUGUCUUCUUUUGCUGGGUGUGGGAUUUACAGGGUGAGUAAAAACAAUGUGGUCUGGAGCACAGUGAAGGGAAAGAGAAAAAAAGGAGCA
Molecule: long non-coding RNA, 2397 nt
Organism: Capra hircus (goat)
Lineage: Eukaryota; Metazoa; Chordata; Mammalia; Artiodactyla; Bovidae
Source: Ensembl